CCUACGGGAGACAGCAGUGGGGAAUAUUGGGCAAUGGGCGCAAGCCUGACCCAGCAACGCCGCGUGAAGGAAGAAGGCUUUCGGGUUGUAAACUUCUUUUCUCAGGGACGAAGAAAGUGACGGUACCUGAGGAAUAAGCCACGGCUAACUACGUGCCAGCAGCCGCGGUAAUACGUAGGUGGCAAGCGUUAUCCGGAUUUACUGGGUGUAAAGGGCGUGUAGGCGGGACUGCAAGUCAGAUGUGAAAACCACGGGCUCAACCUGUGGCCUGCAUUUGAAACUGUAGUUCUUGAGUACUGGGGAGGCAGACGGAAUGCGUAGUGUAGCGGUGAAAUGCGUAGAUAUUAGGAGGAACACCAGUGGCGAAGGCGGUCUGCUGGACAGCAACUGACGCUGAGGCGCGAAAGCGUGGGGAGCAAACAGGAUUAGAUACCCCAGUAGUC
RNAcentral lists this ribosomal RNA (443 nucleotides) under uncultured bacterium. Its description in RNAcentral is "partial 16S ribosomal RNA". It matches the Rfam family "Bacterial small subunit ribosomal RNA", at positions 338 to 795 of the family's 1533-position model. The record is from RNAcentral.